UCAAUAAUACAUACAUACAUACAUACAUGUGUCAGGAAUUGAUGUUUCCGAUAUUAAUAUCUCGUUUGGUUCAAGUGAUGAGGUAAUUCCACUCACUCCCAGUCAACCUUCAACAUCAAGUAAAGAAAUUAGGUCAAUUGUCUCCGAACAGUCCUUAACUGCACCUUCUUUUAUUUCAUCUAUAUCUGGUCCAAGAUUUGAUAAAACAGGCACCUCUUAUUUAGACACUUAUGCUUUUACUGAAUCAAUACUUCAAGUUUCACCUAAAAAAAAAAUAUCACUUGGAGCAUUAAAAAGUCUGAAAAGAAAACAAUCUCGAGAAAGUCUCUUGGUAGAUGGAAAUUUUAAAAAAUUGAAUUUUGGGCUUGGAAAACGAAAAAUUACAAAAAGAGAAAUCUUUAAGACUUCAGCUUUUGAAAUUGGAUGUUGCUCUCAGAAAACAGCAAAUACGAAAAGAGAAAGCUUUAACCAAAAUAUUAUACGACUGCAACACAGCUAAUGAAUGAUAAAUUGCCACUUUCUAACCAACAUCACUUUAUAAAUACAGAAAUGGAAGCAAUCCUUAAGCAGUAAAUUAAAGGGAAGAAAAUAAAUUACGAAUGAAAAUAAAUUUUUGAUUAAUUUUUUUAUUUUCACAUUAAAAAAAAAUAUUAUAACUAUAA
Molecule: long non-coding RNA, 662 nt
Organism: Hydra vulgaris (swiftwater hydra)
Lineage: Eukaryota; Metazoa; Cnidaria; Hydrozoa; Anthoathecata; Hydridae
Source: RefSeq, a predicted model, not a curated record